Molecule: long non-coding RNA, 2025 nt
Filed under: Elaeis guineensis (African oil palm)
Lineage: Eukaryota; Viridiplantae; Streptophyta; Magnoliopsida; Arecales; Arecaceae
Description: long non-coding RNA (EGUI_LNC045277)
Source: RNAcentral
GUUUAUUAAUUAUGCAUAUGUUCAGUGAAAAUUAUGAUAUGUUAUGAUACAAAGUGCUUUGAUAUGGAUCGAAUUUAUGCUCUCAACCUAACUAUGUUUCAGUGGGCCUCACUAAUGGAGAUUAUACAUUGGUAAUUAGUGGGUCUUGCCAAUCGAGAUUAUACGUUGGUACUCAAUGGACCUUGCCAAUGGGAGUUGUGUGUUGGUAUCUAGUGGAUCCUAUCAGUGGAGAUUGUGCGCUGGUAUUUAGUAGAUCCUGUUAGUAGAAGUUGUGUGCUAGUAUUCAGUAGACCCCACCAAUGAAGGUUAAAUAUUGAUCAUAGUUGAGAUUAUUGAGUUAUGAGUGUUUUGAUUCGAAUCGAAUUUAUGAUUAUAUUGUAUAUGAAUAUUUGAAAAGAUUGGAUUUGUAUUGAAUUAGUAUGUAAUAUAUUCUUAUGUUUAUUCAUAGCAUUAUUUUUAAAUAUUAUAUAAUAUCUGAAUUAUCUAGUUGAGCUAUUCAUUACUUAUUGAGUUUUCAAGCUCAUCACUUCUCUCUUUUAUUUUUCAGAUUCAGAUAAUUAAAUUAUGAAUAUGGGUAUUAUUUUUGGGAGAGAAAUUUAGAGGUGAAACUUGGCAUCAUCUGCUUUAUUGAACUUAGAUUUAUUUAUAUUAUUUUUAGUGAAACUUUAUUUGAUGUCAAAUAUUUGAUUUAGUUAUUUUAAAAUAAAGUUGAAUUAUAAUUAUUUAAAUUUUAUUCCACUAUGAUGCAUUGAUAUUGUGAUAAGAUGCCUUGCAUGCUUGUGGGGAGAGUUUCCUAUAAGUGUGCGAUAGUUGCCAUGAUCCUAGACUCAUGAUCUCGAAUCGGGGGCAUGAUAAUUAAUAUGAUAUUAGAGCCAGAUUAAUAUAGUAUCAGAGCAUAAGUGGAUGAAUUAUAAUACAGAAUCAAACAGAGUGUAGGUGGAUAGACAUUAGAGACAUUGGGAUGAUAACUGAUAUUGAUUGUGACAACUUAGAAACCAUAGAUUUAAUACAAAUACAUUGAUCGAUAUGAAUCAGAGAACGUAGCGAAAGCAUGAUGAUCUGAAUUAUCUGGAUUAUUUUGACAUAGUCAGCAAUAUUGAAUCUUUGAGUUAAAAGUUUAUGAUGGAAUACAUGAUUUGAUAUUCCUUAAUAAAAAAAAUCAUUUAUAGGGAAAGGAUAAUGUUUUUGAUUCUAGACUAUUUCGAAUAUCUCUAUGUGAUUUUUACAAGUAGAUCUUCUAUUUACAAUGCUAAGAAAAUUCAUAAAAUCCUAAGUCUUGAAUGAGUAGACUAUCAAUUUUUGAUCUUAAAUUUGAAAAUAUUUAGCAAUAGAUUUUCUCUCUCCUAAAAUUGAAGUUUAUACUCCUCUAUCCAUUAGGAAGAAUGUGGGAUUGUUUAUCAAUUUUAAAUUUUAUACUCGAAUAGUCAUCUAUUGAGAGAUAGUAAAGUUUGAUCAAAAUCUUGUGAUAGAAUGAUUAAGACAAGUUUAGAUGAUGUUUUGGCAACGAACUCAAUAUCCAUAUUAGGAAUUAAAAUAUUGAUUUGAUUGUAAGGAAUAAAUGGUUCUGAUACAGAUCAACCCUUGUGACAUUGACAUUUUUCUUAUGAGACAAUUUAAUGAUAAAAUUGUAUUGAAAACUAGAAUAUUGAAAGGUUCGAGGAUGAGAUUACAACUAUGAAUCCAAAACAAGAAAUUUUGAAGACUUGAGCAAGAAAAAUUUCAAGGAUGAAAUUUCUUUUUAGGGAGAGAGAAUGUGAUACCUCAAUCCCCAAUAUAGUACACAUCUUAAAGUGGGCUACAAAAAAAUAAAAAAAAAGAAGGAAGAGACUUAUUUGACCAGCACAUGCAUUGCACGUGCUGGAAUAGCAUGGGAAAAGAGCAACAUGGAAGAACUCCUGAGUUCUUCACCAAUUAGGACUCCUAAUCCACUCAAAAAAUUGAGUGGAAAUCGAACUCAAAUUUCUUUCCCAUGGAGGUCUAUAAGGCAUAAAUCAUUUAGUUUUCCCCAUGCCAAGGAUCAAUGUU